GUAGUGUGCAUGUGUAUAUACAUAUUCAAAUGAGAGGGGGGAAGAGAGAGAGAGAGAGAGAGAGAGUGUGUGUGUCAAGGUUAAUAUCAGGAAUCUUCCUCAUUUCUUCCACCUUAUUCUUGUUCUCCCGCCCUAUUCUUUGAGGUAAGGUCUCUCAGUCAAACCCAGACCUGGCUGAUAAGGCUAGUCCUUCUGUCUGCUCCAGGACUUCUGAGAUAAAACUCCACGAUGUACUGACCCGUUGCCAACAAGCAAGGAAAAGCAAGUCUGUGACCAGGCAACUGGAAACCUCUAGAAGUGUAAGGGAGCAGCCAGAAAGGAGAGUGUGUCUUGCUAAUCCUACUAAACUCUUUGGGAAGGGACAGAAAGAUGAGGGAAAAGGGUCGAGUAUAAUGCCCUGGACUGCCCUCAGCACCACAGAAGAAAAAGUAGCUGAGCUGUCUGAGCUGAGAGCCAGCAGGCCUCCGUGUGCCAAGUGUCACGAGAGAAAGGUGAGUCACUAGCAAGGUGGGGGUGGACACUCUGGGAAGAGCCCGAUGGAGGAUGUGGGGUCAGAGUCCCAGCCAGAGCAGCUCUGAGUCAUCAGGGAACACACGCAGGUCCUUCCUAGCCAGGGAGGACCAGACCACAGGCGCUAGAGACCCCGCCUCAACAGCAGGUGCACACAAGGAGCCUAGGAACAGAUUCAGUCUCACCCUCACCAGUGACACAUGGGGAAUAUCCGGGCCACCCACCUUGCAAAAUUCACCAAAGAUAUAGGAACUGGAAGUGGACCCAGGGAGCCCAUCCUUCCUCUGUCCCCAAAGAAUCUGUUAGUCAUAGCCUCCAUCCCUGAUCCAAAUACCAUCUCUAAAAGAUAAGGGGGGGCUGGGGAGGAAGCGGAUAUUUAAAAACUAAGAACGGUUUAUGUUUUUUACCUGACAAGAUGGACUAUUCACUUGAUGUGUCUAUUUAAACUCUUUUGUUCAAAUGCCCCCCUCUAUUCCGUGGUUGGAGAUUCAGAAAAGAGAAAAUAAUUUUAGAGAAACAAAGAUAGCAUGCCGUCUCUGCACAUCUGUGAGUGGGGUGACAAAAAUCUGCAACCCUCCUCACACAUGAGCAUUGCCAGCCCUUUCCAUCCUCCUCCCCGCUGCUAAAUUGGGUGCUGCUUGGGCUGCUCAGUUCCUCCCACCCACCCACAUGCAACUGUGCAGAAGAGCUUAGAGGGUCCAGACCAGCUCUUUGGGCUUCUGGGUGCAAAGUGAAGAGAAUGGGAAGGAGGCUAGAGAUGGAUAGGUCACACUAGUGAAUUCUAAGGAGAAACAAAGAAAUAGCAAGUUUGUCUUGAAUGAGCCUCUGCAAUGGAAUGUGUCCAAAGGUGUUGGAGUGGGAGAGGAAGGCGGGCACCUAGAAAUGACACUGGGGAGAGACGGCACAGGACCAGUUACUGCUGCACUUUAGAGGGGACACAAGAUGGAUGCGGAUAGCAGCUGCUGUGGACUUAACUCUUGUGUCUUUGCUUUUCCUUGCAAUUUAAAGGAACUAUCAAGACGGAUUCUUUGAACCCCAUUCAGUCACCAGUGCACAGAGAUCUCAGCCUUGACAGUUGACAAGCUCAGUGCCCCAUGCUAUAUAAGAGAUGACUAAUGUAAAGCAAACAGUGUCAACUGGGGGGGAGUGAUUUGUAUCUCCUAGAGGACAUUUGAGACAUGGUCUGAUGUAUCCCAGGAAGGUUUCUAACUCAUUAUUUAGCUGAUGAUGACCUUGAACUUUGCUCUGUUCCUCCGGCCUCUGCUUCUGAGUGCUGAGAUUACAAGCACUGCCACUGAUCCUGGAUUUAUGCAGCUCUGGGCAUUGAACCCCGGGUCAUGUGCAUGCAGGGCAAGCACUGUGACACUGAUCUGCCUCUCCAGCUCCUGAAGACAUUUCUGAUUGUCACAACUGAGACAUGCUGACGGCAUUUGAACAGAGGCAGAAGGUGCUGCCACGAGUCUUCCGCUACACAGACAGCCCUCCCUCUGCGGCAAAGCAUCCCAGGUAGAAACAUGACCAAGAAGCCGGGCGUUGGUGGUGCACACCUUUAAUCCCAGCACUCGGGAUGCAGAGGCAGGCGGAUCUCUGUGAGUUCGAGACCAGCCUGGACUACAGAGUGAGUUCCAGGACAGCCUCCAAAGCCACAGAGAAACCCUGUCUCGAAAAACCAAAAAAAAAAAAAAAGAAAAAAAAAAGAAAGAAACAUGACCAAGAAAGGCUUGUUUCCUUACAUCCCUUUCUAGUAACAAAAGUAAAAGACAGAUUUUAUCAUUUUAAUCAUCCUUCCACAUUUGUGAUAUUAUUUUUUUAAAGUUUGUCAGACUUGUUUAUUUGAUGUGUGUAUGUGUGAGAAAGAUCACAACAGACGGAGGACGGGGAGCACACAGUCACAGGUACAUGGUACUCAUGGAGGUCAGACAACAAGUACUUGGGGGAGUGGUUUCUCUCCUUCUACCAGUGGAUCCUGGAAAUCAAACUCAAAUUGUCAGUCUUGGUGGUAGGUGUCUUUAACCUUCUGGGUCAUCUUACUAGUCCCUCAUAUCAGUUCUUAUCUGGUAAUAUAUAGAGAGACUGGGUUCAUAAAAACCAUUAGCAUGGAAGAAUUCCUGUUUAAUUCCAGACCCUGUAGAGGGGGGGGGAAGAUUUGAAAAAGACAGUUAUAAAAAAUCUUUUCGAAUGUCUAUACAUACAUAUGUGUUUGCAAGAGUGUGUGUGUGUGUGUGUGUGUAUGUGUGUUCAUGUAGAGGCCUGAGACUUACCUCAGGAGUCUUCCUUGAUUGCUCUCCACAUUAUUCCAUUUCCACUAGUCUAGCUAGUCAGCUUGCUUCAGGGAUUCUCUACCUCCUCAGCCUUCCACCUUCCCAGAGCUGGAAUUGUAGGCAGGCUGCCAUGGCUGCCCAGCAUUUUUGUGGGUUUUGGGGAUCUGAACCCUGCUGAGACAUCUCCCUGGCUGUUACCAAGCACACCAAACAGAACAGCUGUUAUGAGUAAGACAUGAUCACAAUGGACACUUAUGGCUUCUCGGCAUCCUUUGGUCUCUAAAGAGAAUUCCCAGAAUCCAACUCUUUGCCCAGUCCCUCCCACACACUUCCACACAGGGACUAAGCACUUUGUUUUGCUUUGUUGCAGGCAAUAUAUUCACUAAGAAGGAUUACUGGGGUAAGGUGUUAUGAAAUGGUGGCAUAUUUAAUUUCCAGUUUCUAUUCUAAUUUCCUUGGCUGUGUUACCAUCAGGUCUCUCUACUCUGACAGCCUUAGACUUCAGUCCUAGAAAUCUACACUAUAUAGCUUUAAAAAUAUCCAAACAAACUAGAAUGCUUACAUUUUUGGAGGUCACUCCUUCAAUUAUUUCAAUAGGCUAUAAAUUUAUCCAAACCCCUAUUUCUUUUCUGCCUAUAUACCCUUGUCUUUUCUCUGAAAUGUAGUCCUAUGUUUAGGAGAUAAAUACCAACAUCUCAUCUAUGAGGGCCAGGAUAUUGGGCUGGCUUGCUCCCAGCCCCUAUAUCUCUCUAUGAAGACAUAUCAAGUCAAGGGCCCAGAGGCAGAGGGCAAUUGCCAGCAGGGUUGGUCCAUCACCAACACCAUCCAAAGCAGCUGCAUUUAUUGCCUCUACUGCUCUUGGUGGAGACCUACCUCUUUCCUUCAGCAACCACAAAGAGCAGGCAGGGUCACCCUUGAUGACUCCAGACCCCUGUCCAUCAGGUGAUUUGUGAAUAAACAACUCGGCCCCUAUGAGAUGGGAGUCACAGCAUCAGCACAUAAUGUGUAAAAGUUAAAGUCGUAACCAAGAGGAGCAUGCCUGAAUAACUGACAGAUGGUGGCCUAGACAGAGAGAGCAGUCUCUCUCUCUCUCUCUCUCUCUCUCUCUCUCUCUCUCUCUCUCUCUCUCUCUCUCUCUCCAAAAGGGCUCCAGGAAUGAGUAUAGAUUUCAGAGUCAGGGAUCUCUUGAGCUUUUCCUUGUGAUCACAAGAUGGCUAUGGAAUUUUCAGGCAUUUAUCCUUUUUCAACAAAGGAAGAUGGCAGGGCCUUAGGAGAAAUGGUUAGUGUAUAUAUUCUUCUUAGCGGAGAAAGCAAAGUCUUUUGGAAGAUCAAAGCAGACUUGCUCUCAAGCCUCACUGAGUCAUUUAACCAGCCCUAGCUGCCAAAAAGACUGGAAUCCAUAAGGGAGAAGAUGGGGAAUAUUGGUUGCUUCGACCAUGACAUGAAAGUCACAUCUGUAGCCUAGCAUCUUAGACUAGUGUAGUCCUGAUGGUGAACGAGGGAAAACUCAGAGCUAUUAACUGUUUUACAAGUCUUCCAGCACACACAGUGCUACUUUGGGCCUAGAAAUGGAAGAGUGACCAUUCUUGCCAUCUUGGCUGAUACCUGGAUGCCCCAUGGGUUCUGAAACAUGAUGCUCUUGGUUUGGGUCUUGACCUUCUCCUAGCAGGCAUCACAAAACAGUGAGAGUCCCAUUAUGUGACACAAGAAGCCAGAGCAGGGAAGGAAGAACAUAGCCAUUCCAUCUACCUCAUGCCAUACAACCCAACCCCAAAAUGCCAAUAGCAACUCCAUGGCCCUCCUGGGAAGCAAUAACUGAGGAGAGAUUGAAUUAUUUGGGCAGGUAGUGGCAAGUUGGAAAACUCUGGAUUCAUUUGUAGCCACAGAAUGAUAAGGCUACCUGGAGAUUUCUUCAUAGCUUACAACUUUGUAUUCACUUUCCUACAUUCGGCAACAACCCACAAAAACGGAUGAUGUUUAGAUCUAAGCCACUGUUAACAGCGUGUGGCCAGCGAGCUCCUGUCUUCCUCUGCACUCUACCAAAUGUGAGUUGCUUGUGACACACAGCCCGACCCAGGGUGAGGACUAGCCACAGAUCUUGCCUCUUUCCCUUUCUUCUUCCUCACCUGACUUCUGACACUUUGCCUUCUCUCUGCCCCUAGACUUUCAGCGAAGCUCUUGCUUGACCCCUCUGGCUCUUGCUUGACCCCUCUGGCUCUUGCUUGACCCCUCUGGCUCUUGCUUGACCCCUCUGGCUCUUGCUUGACCCCUCUGGCUCUUGCUUGACCCCUCUGGCUCUGGCAUGAGCGCUGGUCUCUCUUGGCAGCUUUAGGUUCAGAGUUCUGGCACAUGUGUCAGCAGUUUCUCUGAGCAUCCCAUCCAUGCCUUUGUU
Long non-coding RNA from Mesocricetus auratus (golden hamster), 5163 nucleotides. RefSeq lists it as uncharacterized. The transcript is spliced from 3 exons. Lineage: Eukaryota; Metazoa; Chordata; Mammalia; Rodentia; Cricetidae. The record is from RefSeq and is a predicted model, not a curated record.